This 1333-nucleotide small RNA is filed under the name Pan troglodytes (chimpanzee). RNAcentral describes it as "retained intron". The record is from RNAcentral. Lineage: Eukaryota; Metazoa; Chordata; Mammalia; Primates; Hominidae.
UACACUGUAUAUAUAGGUUGAAUAGAAGGUCAUCCUAUUCAUUUAUUAAUGAGAGGUACAAUCUCUAGGGAUCUGUAAAAUCUAUUUUGUCUUAACCAAAGAACAAAUUUUUGACGUAUCUUGAAUAGGAUGACUAUAAAUUAUGACUUUUAAAUUGUUGUAAUUUUUGUACUAUUAUCUGAUAUUUUUAUUUUUAUGUAUGUUCCUAAGUAGUUUAGAGAUAGUCACAUUUUAAAAAUCUAAGAUCAAGCAAAUGAAGCUUAUUUUUAUGUAUUCAUAGUAUAAAAGACCUUCAGUAAAUAGGUAAUAUUUUUGUUUUAUUCUAGAAAACAGCUCCUUGAACACAGUGAGCUGGCUUUUCACACAUUGCAGUUGUUAGUGUUUACUGCCCUUGCCAUUUUAAUUAUGAGGCUAAAGAUGUUUUUGACACCGCACAUGUGUGUUAUGGCUUCCUUGAUAUGCUCUCGACAGCUCUUUGGCUGGCUCUUUCGCAGAGUUCGUUUUGAGAAGGUUAUCUUUGGCAUUCUAACAGUGAUGUCAAUACAAGGUUAUGCAAACCUCCGUAAUCAAUGGAGCAUAAUAGGAGAAUUUAAUAAUUUGCCUCAGGAAGAACUUUUACAGUGGAUCAAAUACAGUACCACAUCAGAUGCUGUCUUCGCAGGUGCCAUGCCUACAAUGGCAAGCAUCAAGCUGUCUACACUUCAUCCCAUUGUGAAUCAUCCACAUUACGAAGAUGCAGACUUGAGGGCUCGGACAAAAAUAGUUUAUUCUACAUAUAGUCGAAAAUCUGCCAAAGAAGUAAGAGAUAAAUUGUUGGAGUUACAUGUGAAUUAUUAUGUUUUAGAAGAGGCAUGGUGUGUUGUGAGAACUAAGCCUGGUUGCAGUAUGCUUGAAAUCUGGGAUGUGGAAGACCCUUCCAAUGCAGCUAACCCUCCCUUAUGUAGCGUCCUGCUCGAAGACGCCAGGCCUUACUUCACCACAGUAUUUCAGAAUAGUGUGUACAGAGUAUUGAAGGUUAACUGAGAAGGAUACUACCCAUUAUACUAUGGCACAAUGCCGUGUGUCAAAAACAAUCACCCUUUGGCUUAUUCACAUUAAUAAAAAUCACAAGCUUUAAUAACAGACACUUAAGAUAAAAAUGGAUUGGAAAUUUUUCUGAUUACUAAAAGGUAAAUUACUUUUCUGUUCAUUGAAUGUCAGCCUUAUUAAGCUUGUCAUAUAAGUUAUUAAAUCAUUCAUGUCAUACUGCUUAAACAAAUGUUCAUUUCAGAAUUUUAAAGAGAAAUGUAUAUAAAAGAACAAUGAAUUUUAAUAAAUCAGGGGUACGUAAGUC